Molecule: ribosomal RNA, 128 nt
Filed under: Escherichia coli
Lineage: Bacteria; Pseudomonadati; Pseudomonadota; Gammaproteobacteria; Enterobacterales; Enterobacteriaceae
Description: partial 16S ribosomal RNA
Rfam family: Bacterial small subunit ribosomal RNA
Source: RNAcentral
AAAUUGAAGAGUUUGAUCAUGGCUCAGAUUGAACGCUGGCGGCAGGCCUAACACAUGCAAGUCGAACGGUAACAGGAAUCAGCUUGCUGAUUUGCUGACGAGUGGCGGACGGGUGAGUAAUGUCUGGG